This is a long non-coding RNA of Spodoptera frugiperda (fall armyworm), 426 nucleotides long. RefSeq lists it as uncharacterized. The transcript has 2 exons. Lineage: Eukaryota; Metazoa; Arthropoda; Insecta; Lepidoptera; Noctuidae. The record is from RefSeq and is a predicted model, not a curated record.
UGAGACUUCAAUUCGUGCUUUCGUCACUAGUUAGUGUGUUCAAGGUAAACAAAGAGAAAAGUCGAUAUGAGCGACAAAAAUAUGGUUUAUUCAGCAAUUUUUUGUGACCCGUCCGUCAAGUGUCAUGCGGGGAUUGCGGCCCAGAGGAUUUGGGACAAUAAAGCCAUUAUAAAGAUUUUUGGCGCGAUUACUGUGGGGAUACUGAGGGCUGCGAGGUCACCGUGGAGUGACGAAGGCGCGGGCAGUCUCCACACUCGGCUUGACGUGAUUAACCUCCCGCCCCCCGCGCGCUGUCACCGGCCACCGCCGGCGCCCGUCCCCGGGGCGCGAAUCCAAUUUACCAACUUGUACCCCGUUAUUGUGUCCGCUACUGUUUGCGUUCCCAUAAGGAAACUUUUCUGUAUAAUAAAUAUAAUGCGGUCAGCA